UACGAAGGGGGCUAGCGUUGUUCGGAAUUACUGGGCGUAAAGCGUGCGCAGGCGGCUUCUCAAGUCAGGGGUGAAAGCCCAGAGCUCAACUCUGGAACUGCCUUUGAGACUGAGAGGCUUGAGUACGGGAGAGGUGAGUGGAAUUCCCAGUGUAGAGGUGAAAUUCGUAGAUAUUGGGAAGAACACCGGUGGCGAAGGCGGCUCACUGGCUCAUUACUGACGCUCAGGCGCGAUAGCGUGGGGAUCAAACAGG
RNAcentral lists this ribosomal RNA (253 nucleotides) under uncultured bacterium. RNAcentral's name for it is "partial 16S ribosomal RNA". It matches the Rfam family "Bacterial small subunit ribosomal RNA", at positions 524 to 776 of the family's 1533-position model. The record is from RNAcentral.